UACGUAGGCGGAAAAUUAAGUCAGUAGUGAAAUCCUGCAGCUUAACUGUAGAACUGUUAUUGAUACUGGUUUUCUUGAAUAUAGUUGAGGUAGGCGGAAUGUGUAAUGUAGCGGUGAAAUGCUUAGAUAUUACACAGAACACCGAUUGCGAAGGCAGCUUACUAAGCUAUGAUUGACGCUGAGGUACGAAAGCGUGGGUAGCGAACAGGAUUAGAUACCCUGGUAGUCC
This 229-nucleotide ribosomal RNA is filed under the name uncultured bacterium. RNAcentral describes it as "partial 16S ribosomal RNA". It matches the Rfam family "Bacterial small subunit ribosomal RNA", at positions 568 to 796 of the family's 1533-position model. The record is from RNAcentral.